RNAcentral lists this ribosomal RNA (450 nucleotides) under uncultured bacterium. RNAcentral's name for it is "partial 16S ribosomal RNA". It matches the Rfam family "Bacterial small subunit ribosomal RNA", at positions 354 to 796 of the family's 1533-position model. The record is from RNAcentral.
GUGGGGAAUUUUGGACAAUGGGCGCAAGCCUGAUCCAGCAAUGCCGCGUGCAGGAAGAAGGCCUUCGGGUUGUAAACUGCUUUUGUACGGAACGAAAAGGCUCUGGCUAAUACCUGGAGCUCAUGACGGUACCGUAAGAAUAAGCACCGGCUAACUACGUGCCAGCAGCCGCGGUAAUACGUAGGGUGCGAGCGUUAAUCGGAAUUACUGGGCGUAAAGCGUGCGCAGGCGGUUUUGUAAGACAGGCGUGAAAUCCCCGGGCUCAACCUGGGAAUGGCGCUUGUGACUGCAAAGCUGGAGUGCGGCAGAGGGGGAUGGAAUUCCGCGUGUAGCAGUGAAAUGCGUAGAUAUGCGGAGGAACACCGAUGGCGAAGGCAAUCCCCUGGGCCUGCACUGACGCUCAUGCACGAAAGCGUGGGGAGCAAUCAGGAUUAGAAACCCGUGUAGUCC